This 517-nucleotide ribosomal RNA is filed under the name Staphylococcus aureus. Its description in RNAcentral is "bacterial SSU rRNA". It matches the Rfam family "Bacterial small subunit ribosomal RNA", at positions 196 to 701 of the family's 1533-position model. Lineage: Bacteria; Bacillati; Bacillota; Bacilli; Caryophanales; Staphylococcaceae. The record is from RNAcentral.
AAAAGUGAAAGACGGUCUUGCUGUCACUUAUAGAUGGAUCCGCGCUGCAUUAGCUAGUUGGUAAGGUAACGGCUUACCAAGGCAACGAUGCAUAGCCGACCUGAGAGGGUGAUCGGCCACACUGGAACUGAGACACGGUCCAGACUCCUACGGGAGGCAGCAGUAGGGAAUCUUCCGCAAUGGGCGAAAGCCUGACGGAGCAACGCCGCGUGAGUGAUGAAGGUCUUCGGAUCGUAAAACUCUGUUAUUAGGGAAGAACAUAUGUGUAAGUAACUGUGCACAUCUUGACGGUACCUAAUCAGAAAGCCACGGCUAACUACGUGCCAGCAGCCGCGGUAAUACGUAGGUGGCAAGCGUUAUCCGGAAUUAUUGGGCGUAAAGCGCGCGUAGGCGGUUUUUUAAGUCUGAUGUGAAAGCCCACGGCUCAACCGUGGAGGGUCAUUGGAAACUGGAAAACUUGAGUGCAGAAGAGGAAAGUGGAAUUCCAUGUGUAGCGGUGAAAUGCGCAGAGAUAUGG